UUCUAUAUAAAGUAACAGAUAGAGAGGAGAUGACUGGUGGAGAAAGAAUCGACCUUCAUUGGAACAACGCAAAAGAGUGGCGAAGCGACCAUAGCAGACUGCUCGUCUUCGUCAGUUGUGGAGGGUCUUUAGGAUGGUAGUCUGCUGGAUCCAGUUGUUUGCCAGCUUCUCCAUUCCCAGGAUGGACCUUAUUUGGUGAUUGUGAUUGAGGCCCGCAUAAUGCAUGAUAUAUUGAAUUGAAACCAUUUAAAUGUUUUGAAUAAGGUUUCUUCAGAGCCACAACUCCUUGAACUUGAUGAUAGUGAAGAAAAUAGUGAAACUGGAAAGAAUUUGGAAGAAGAAAAGAAUUGGGGCCUUUUCAGCAGCACUGGAUAUCAUAAACAAAGGACUCUUUUGAUUUAUCUCGGACAACCCUUUACCCGUAUUCAAGGUUCAUCGCUCAACACACCAUCCGAUUCAGACUUAACCAUUUUCUGCAUAAGUGUAUCUGGAUAUUGAGCUCAUCGCCUAACAUAGUGUCCGGGUUAAGACUUGAUCAUUUGUUGUUUCCAUUUCAAGUCCAAUUCUCAUCGUUUGUAGUCUUAUACGAAUUGUAGGACAUCGCUUGAGGGUCAUCCGGAUUACUUAUUUCUUGGACAUCAAUUUCAUCUUUUUCAUCCUGAUUCAACUUAGUCGCGAGCUUGUUCCUCGUAUAUACUUUCAUCCUGUUAGAACUGAAAUU
Cynara cardunculus var. scolymus (artichoke) is the source of this 721-nucleotide long non-coding RNA. RefSeq lists it as uncharacterized. The transcript is spliced from 3 exons. The record is from RefSeq and is a predicted model, not a curated record. Lineage: Eukaryota; Viridiplantae; Streptophyta; Magnoliopsida; Asterales; Asteraceae.